This 1480-nucleotide ribosomal RNA is filed under the name uncultured organism. RNAcentral's name for it is "SSU rRNA". It matches the Rfam family "Bacterial small subunit ribosomal RNA". The record is from RNAcentral.
CUGUCGGCGUGCCUAAUACAUGCAAGUCGAACGAGUUCUUGUUGAUGAUCGGUGCUUGCACCAAGAUUCAACAUGGAACGAGUGGCGGACGGGUGAGUAACACGUGGGUAACCUGCCCUUAAGUGGGGGAUAACAUUUGGAAACAGAUGCUAAUACCGCAUAGAUCCAAGAACCGCAUGGUUCUUGGCUGAAAGAUGGCGUAAGCUAUCGCUUUUGGAUGGACCCGCGGCGUAUUAGCUAGUUGGUGAGGUAAUGGCUCACCAAGGCGAUGAUACGUAGCCGAACUGAGAGGUUGAUCGGCCACAUUGGGACUGAGACACGGCCCAAACUCCUACGGGAGGCAGCAGUAGGGAAUCUUCCACAAUGGACGCAAGUCUGAUGGAGCAACGCCGCGUGAGUGAAGAAGGCUUUCGGGUCGUAAAACUCUGUUGUUGGAGAAGAAUGGUCGGCAGAGUAACUGUUGUCGGCGUGACGGUAUCCAACCAGAAAGCCACGGCUAACUACGUGCCAGCAGCCGCGGUAAUACGUAGGUGGCAAGCGUUAUCCGGAUUUAUUGGGCGUAAAGCGAGCGCAGGCGGUUUUUUAAGUCUGAUGUGAAAGCCCUCGGCUUAACCGAGGAAGCGCAUCGGAAACUGGGAAACUUGAGUGCAGAAGAGGACAGUGGAACUCCAUGUGUAGCGGUGAAAUGCGUAGAUAUAUGGAAGAACACCAGUGGCGAAGGCGGCUGUCUGGUCUGUAACUGACGCUGAGGCUCGAAAGCAUGGGUAGCGAACAGGAUUAGAUACCCUGGUAGUCCAUGCCGUAAACGAUGAAUGCUAGGUGUUGGAGGGUUUCCGCCCUUCAGUGCCGCAGCUAACGCAUUAAGCAUUCCGCCUGGGGAGUACGACCGCGAGGUUGAAACUCAAAGGAAUUGACGGGGGCCCGCACAAGCGGUGGAGCAUGUGGUUUAAUUCGAAGCAACGCGAAGAACCUUACCAGGUCUUGACAUCUUUUGAUCACCUGAGAGAUCAGGUUUCCCCUUCGGGGGCAAAAUGACAGGUGGUGCAUGGUUGUCGUCAGCUCGUGUCGUGAGAUGUUGGGUUAAGUCCCGCAACGAGCGCAACCCUUAUGACUAGUUGCCAGCAUUUAGUUGGGCACUCUAGUAAGACUGCCGGUGACAAACCGGAGGAAGGUGGGGAUGACGUCAAAUCAUCAUGCCCCUUAUGACCUGGGCUACACACGUGCUACAAUGGAUGGUACAACGAGUUGCGAGACCGCGAGGUCAAGCUAAUCUCUUAAAGCCAUUCUCAGUUCGGACUGUAGGCUGCAACUCGCCUACACGAAGUCGGAAUCGCUAGUAAUCGCGGAUCAGCACGCCGCGGUGAAUACGUUCCCGGGCCUUGUACACACCGCCCGUCACACCAUGAGAGUUUGUAACACCCGAAGCCGGUGGCGUAACCCUUUUAGGGAGCGAGCCGUCUAAGGUGGGACAAAUGAUUAG